GCCGGCGAGCGGCGGACGGGUGAGUAAAGUCUGGGAAACUGCCUGAUGAGGGGAUAACCACUGGAAACGGUGGCUAAUACCGCAUAAUCUCGCGAGAGCAAGGUGGGGGACCUUCGGGCCUCAUGCCAUCGGAUGAACCCAUACGGGAUUAGCUGGAAGGUGAGGUAAUGGCUCACCUUGGCGACGAUCCCUAGCUGGUCUGAGAGGAUGACCAGCCACACUGGGACUGAGACACGGCCCAG
Molecule: ribosomal RNA, 242 nt
Filed under: uncultured bacterium
Lineage: Bacteria
Description: partial 16S ribosomal RNA
Rfam family: Bacterial small subunit ribosomal RNA
Source: RNAcentral